UGGGGAAUUUUGCGCAAUGCUCGAAAGAGUGACGCAGCGACGCCGCGUGAAUGACGAAGGCCUUCGGGUCGUAAAGUUCUUUCGACAGGGAAGAAUGUGUAUAGUAGUAACUGACUAUACAGUGACGGUACCUGUAUAAGCAGCCCCGGCUAACUCCGUGCCAGCAGCCGCGGUAAUACGGAGGGGGCGAGCGUUGUUCGGAGUGACUGGGCGUAAAGAGCACGUAGGCGGUGUUGUAAGUCAUUAGUCAAAGACUAGAGCUCAACUUUAGUAAGGCUAGUGAUACUAUAGUACUAGAGUAUCAGAGAGGAUUGCAGAAUUCCUGGUGUAGCGGUGAAAUGCGUAGAUAUCAGGAGGAAUACCAUUAGCGAAGGCGGCGAUCUGGCUGGAAACUGACGCUGAGGUGCGAAAGCGUGGGUAGCAAACAGG
This 429-nucleotide ribosomal RNA is filed under the name uncultured bacterium. RNAcentral describes it as "bacterial SSU rRNA". It matches the Rfam family "Bacterial small subunit ribosomal RNA", at positions 355 to 776 of the family's 1533-position model. The record is from RNAcentral.